This 158-nucleotide ribosomal RNA is filed under the name Mucor hiemalis. Its description in RNAcentral is "5.8S ribosomal RNA". It matches the Rfam family "5.8S ribosomal RNA". Rfam says of the family: 5.8S ribosomal RNA (5.8S rRNA) is a component of the large subunit of the eukaryotic ribosome. Lineage: Eukaryota; Fungi; Mucoromycota; Mucoromycetes; Mucorales; Mucoraceae. RNAcentral also lists the same sequence under 1 other name. The record is from RNAcentral.
CAACUUUUAACAACGGAUCUCUUGGUUCUCGCAUCGAUGAAGAACGUAGCAAAGUGCGAUAACUAGUGUGAAUUGCAUAUUCAGUGAAUCAUCGAGUCUUUGAACGCAACUUGCGCUCAAUGGUAUUCCAUUGAGCACGCCUGUUUCAGUAUCAAAAA